RNAcentral lists this ribosomal RNA (468 nucleotides) under uncultured bacterium. RNAcentral describes it as "partial 16S ribosomal RNA". It matches the Rfam family "Bacterial small subunit ribosomal RNA", at positions 28 to 507 of the family's 1533-position model. The record is from RNAcentral.
GACGAACGCUGGCGGCGUGCUUAACACAUGCAAGUCGAACGGAAAGGCCCUGCUUUUGUGGGGUGCUCGAGUGGCGAACGGAUGAGUAACAAGUGAGUAACCUGCCCUUGACUUUGGGAUAACUUCAGGAAACUGGGGCUACUACCGGAUCGGAGCUCCUGCUGACUGGUGGGGGUUGGAAAGUUUCGGCGGGCGGGGAUGGAAUCGCGGCUUAUCAGCUUGUUGGUGGGGUAGUGGCUUACCAAGGCUUUGACGGGUAGCCGGCCUGGGAGGGUGACCGCCGACAAUGCGACUGAGAGAGGGACCAGACUCCAACGGGGGGCAGCAGGGGGGAAUAUGGUGCAACGGUGCGAAGCCUAAUGCAGCGACGCCGCGUGCGGGAUGUCGGCCUUCGGGUGGUAAACCGCGUUCGCCUGUGACGAAGCGUGAUUGACGGUAAUGGGUAAAGAAGCACCGGCUAACUACGUG